Long non-coding RNA from Hemicordylus capensis (graceful crag lizard), 241 nucleotides. RefSeq lists it as uncharacterized. The record is from RefSeq and is a predicted model, not a curated record. NCBI's taxonomy places the organism in Eukaryota, Metazoa, Chordata, Lepidosauria, Squamata, Cordylidae. The transcript is spliced from 3 exons.
AGGAAUUAUUUGGAUAGCAGAUGGGAGAACACAGUCCAUGAAUCCACACCCAUAUGGCAGUGGGAGAUCGCUGCCAGGUGAACCCUUAUGGAAGAUUUGGAUAAACCUAUCAAUUUCAAACUGGACAGAUGGUCUGGAGAAUGAGCUGUCAAUAACCAAUCAUCUAGAUGCAAAAAGAGGUGCAUGCCUCUUCCCCUCAAGAUGAAGAGGUAUAGUCCACAACUAAAGAACUGGAUGUUUG